GAUGAACGCUAGCGGCAGGCCUAAUACAUGCAAGUCGAACGGUGUCUUCGGACAUAGUGGCGCACGGGUGCGUAACACGUAUGCAACCUACCUUACAUUGGGGGAUAGCCUUUCGAAAGGCAGAUUAAUACCGCAUAAGACAGUAGCUGGGCAUCCAGCAGCUGUUAAAGAUUUAUCGAUGUAAGCUGGGCAUGCGUCCAAUUAGCUAGUUGGUGAGGUAACGGCUCACCAAGGCAAAGAUUGGUAGGGGAACUGAGAGGUCAAGCCCCCACACUGGCACGGAGAUGCGGGCCAGACGCCUACGGGAGGCAGCAGUAGGGAAUAUUGGGCAAUGGACGCAAGUCUGACCCAGCCAUGCCGCGUGCAGGAUGAAGGCGUUAUGCGUUGUAAACUGCUUUUAUACAGGAAGAAACGACUCUUGCGAGAGGCAUUGACGGUACUGUAUGAAUAAGCACCGGCUAACUCCGUGCCAGCAGCCGCCGUAA
RNAcentral lists this ribosomal RNA (485 nucleotides) under uncultured bacterium. RNAcentral describes it as "partial 16S ribosomal RNA". It matches the Rfam family "Bacterial small subunit ribosomal RNA", at positions 28 to 523 of the family's 1533-position model. The record is from RNAcentral.